Amborella trichopoda is the source of this 1809-nucleotide non-coding RNA. Lineage: Eukaryota; Viridiplantae; Streptophyta; Magnoliopsida; Amborellales; Amborellaceae. The record is from RefSeq and is a predicted model, not a curated record.
UUAUUUUCAACCACACUUCCUCUCUCGUUCUCUCUAUCUCUCUCUCUUGCUCUAAAUAGUUAGUGCCGAUGAGUAUUAGAACCAACUCAUUCUCUCCAACAUUCAUACCUAAGAUUAACCCCAAGCAGGUAGAUUUGGAGACCACUCGGUUUAGAGAUUUGAAGAGAAAAUUGAAAAAGGUGAUAAGUGGAGUCAGUGAUGAGCUUGUAUGAUCCUAAUUGACCACAUCCAACAGCUUGGCAUCGCCUACCACUUUGAAAUAGAAAUUGAAGCGGCUCUUGGUGGCAUUUACAGAGGUUUUUCUGCAAAUGGUUCUGAUCACAAUCUCUUAGUUGCUUCUCUAAAAUCUCGAUUCCUUAGACAAUAUGGAUAUAAUGUGUCAUCGAAUGUAUUUAACAAAUUCAAGGAUGGCAAUGAGAAUUUCAAACCCAGUUUGAGCGAAGAUGUUAUUGGUAUGUUGAACCUCUAUGAAGCUUCACACCUUCGAAUUCAAGGGGAAGAUAUCAUGGAUGAAGCACUAGGAUUCUGUGUCAAGCAUCUCAGCACAGCAUCUCGUAGAACCUAAUAUCACGAAAAUAGUGAGGCACGCCCUCAAGCUUCCAUUACACUUCUGAACCCCAAGGUUAGAGACCAGGCAUUACAUUGAGGUUUACAAAUAAGAUCCUCAGAGGGACCAAGAGUUAUUGGAGUUUGCCCAAAGAGACUUCAAUAUGGUGCAAGCCAUGUAUAAGGGAGAGCUGAAAGAGGUCUCAUUUAAGUGUCCUCACAAAAUUCUUCUCUCUUGUGAUAUUAAGGACAUUUUCUCAGUAGUGUCUUAUCUUUCUUUAGGUGGUGGCGGGAGUUGGAUAUGGAAAAGGAGCUUGCAUUUGCUAGAGAUCAAAUACACCACUGGUUUAUGUGGCCUGUUGCAAUCGUCCCUGAGCCUCAGUAUUCAGAGUGCAGAGUUGAUAUAACCAAAGCCAUUUCCUUCAUCUACCUGAUAGACGAUAUCUACGAGAUGUACGGAUCCAUGGAUGAACUAGAACUCUUUACCCAAGCAAUUACAAGUGGACCUCAUUAUGCGAAGCCUUUUUAGUUGAAGCAAAAUGGUACCGAUCUGGGCAAGUGCCAAGAGCAAAGAAGUACUUGAAAAAUGCAGUGACGAGUACAGGUGUGCAUGCUGUCUUGAUUCACAUGUAUUUCCUGAUGGGACACAAAGUAACAAGCGAGACUGCUCAACUCAUAAGCAAUGACCCUCAAUUCAUUCGCUGCUCAGCAACCAUUUUUCGGCUUUGGGAUGACUUGUCUACUUCAAUGGAGGAAAGAGAGAGAGGGGAUGAUUCCUCUUACAUAGAAUCAUACAUGAAGGAACAUGAAGAUGAAUCAGAAGAGAGUGCUCGAGAACACACUACAAAUCUCAUUAUAAUAAUGUGGAAGAGACUAAUCCAUGAGAGUCUCAAGCCAAGCCCCUUUCCACAUUCCUUCACCAUUUCAGUGUUGAACAUCUCUAGAAUGGCCCAAAUCGUGUGCCAAAAUCAAGAGGAUUCCACCGUGAAGGAUCAUAUGAAGUCAUUGCUCCUGGAUCCCAUUUCCCUCUCUCUUGACGGAUCGGCGACCCCUCCAAAUAUGCCUUCAACUUUAUAAAACUAAAUGAAAACUUUCUUCUUCUUCUUUUUUUUUAUUUUUUAUUUCUUUUUAUUUUUUUUUAUUUUUUUAUUUUUUUAAGGGUUGUAAUGGAGCGUGAGACGUUAUAUUGGGGUAUCCACCAUCUUAAGCAUCAAUGCCCUAACCCCAUUUUCUCGUAAAUUAAAAAUUACUUUGUCAUAAUUA